UUUAUAAGGUUUAGGAUGUUUUGUAGUUUCCAAACCCAGUUUAUCAACAAACAAGGUACUAGCCACAUUUACACAACUACCCCCAUCAAUAAUCAUGCUACACAAUUUUUCAUUCACUAGACAUCAAGAAUGAAAAAUGUUCUCUCUUCGCAACUUAACCCCCUCAUCAUCAUUCCUUACUUGCGUAUUCAAAGCACGCCUAGAAACCAACAAUCUA
RNAcentral lists this long non-coding RNA (217 nucleotides) under Carica papaya (papaya). RNAcentral describes it as "long non-coding RNA (CPAP_LNC001210)". Lineage: Eukaryota; Viridiplantae; Streptophyta; Magnoliopsida; Brassicales; Caricaceae. The record is from RNAcentral.